Molecule: non-coding RNA, 356 nt
Organism: Arachis ipaensis
Lineage: Eukaryota; Viridiplantae; Streptophyta; Magnoliopsida; Fabales; Fabaceae
Source: RefSeq, a predicted model, not a curated record
AUCCAAGCAACGAUUAGAGAUCAACUUAUAUCAAAUUUUACUGUGUCUCUAAAUGAAGGGGAUCUGUAUUUGAUGACCCAUUUUACAGUUGUACCAAACACUGGUUUGAACAGAGUGACCAAACAUCAGUUCAGACUUUUGUUCCAAUAAAAGACCUCUGUUGUUUCUGUGGUAUCUCCAAGGAUACCUCAUUCGGGUUUGUGUUUUACGUCAAUAGAUGAAAUUGAUCAAAUGACAAAGGACCACAAUUUUCUCAUUGACUUUGUUGGGAUCAUUACUGGUGUUCGAAAAGAAAGAGAUGUAGCAUCAUAUGGGAAGCUGAUCAAAGCAGUUGUGCUAGAAGUUUUUACUGAUGG